CAAACAAUUUUCACGUCUAAAACACAGCUUGCUCAGCCCUCUGGUUGGUGGUCCACUGUCUAAAAUUGCUUAUUAUCGGUUGAAACUAAGCAGCAAUGAAGUGAUGCAGAAUGUGGAGUUUGCUGCAUUGUAUUGCUUAAAGAGCAAAGUUGCUUUCCCAAGACUGGUGGCCACAGCUCUAGGCAUCCAGUGGAGCACGUGUCAAAGUUAUCUCUCAAGACUAAAUACGCACAGACUUCCUGCAGAAUAAGGAGCCUAUUCAGACUGCAGACUUACUGCACCAUGUGUGCCUCAUUAAUUAUUAUUCUUCAUGUUUUAAUUGUUAUUAUUUUACUGUGCCCAAGAGGAAUAUAGAUUUUAUGUCAUCUGUUAAAGACACAAUUAGAAGAACUAGGCUCAAAGGAGUAGCAGAGGCAGAUGGUAUACUGGCAGUUAAAUUUAUAAAACUCUUCUCUCAAGUCUUGCCAGGAAGCAGAAUAGCUUUCUGCUCUUUUUUUUUUUCUUUUGCUUUCAGGCAAACAGUUUAUUUCAAGAUGAGUUUGCUGUAUGUGAGAGGGUAGAGAAGUACGAUUGGGUUUCUCAUGAGUUCUGACAUUCAGAAAAAACCCACAAGAAGCUAAAAUUCUUUUGACUGAGUCACAAAUCAUUUAUUCAUAAAUUCUUGCCACAGAGGAACCUCCACCAGUUUCUAAACCAAAUAAUACGUGCCAUGUGUCCAGCUUCUUUUCUGUCUGUCACGUUUCUAGUUAACCUUGUUAACUGGGUUAGUGGAAAAACACUGGUAUAAUGUAACACAGGCAGUGACCUGCCAGAUGACCUAUGCAGAUCAGAUGAAGAAUAUCAAUUUCAGGGUUGAUUGGGGGUGUGAAUAGGACCACUACUGCUAAUAAAAACUAGGGAUUUUUUGCAAUCACAUCCCUCACAGAAAAGCAGUAGCCUUUGGAGGUACCAGGAGCUGAUCUGAACUGCAGAAUUUCUCCAGGAGACAUCUGAAUGAAAAAUGCACCAUAAGAUUGGAAUAUAGGAAAUGUCAGAAUCACUUGGCUUCUCCAUCCAAUCUGAGAUGACAAUGACAGCACAGCAAAUUGUAUCCCACAGGCUUCUCCUCAAGGUGGUGGGAAUUUGAUAAUGUUAACAUAAGUAUCUAAGCCACAUUAGAUACUGCAGGUCUCUUACUUGGCCCCCACCUGCAGAAUAAUAAGGGAGCUCCUAGUCCUACCACGUCUGUUCUAUGCGAAUGUCUGACACUCAGAAGAUCUGAAAUAUCAAUGAAAGUCUAUGUGCUUAGACAACUUAACUGCUUCUGGAGUGAGGGAAGUGGAACAAGGCAGCCCAUUACUUUCACUGAAGCCUGAGUCAGUGCCUUAGUUAAUUAAAAAGCUGACUCUUUUUUUUUAAUGAAGCAUCUUUUGAAUUAUUUGUAAUUUCAUUUUUCCUUGUCUUUUAUUUGAAUUAGUAUAUAUACAUUCCUGGCACCAUUUUCUUGCAGCUUCAGUUGCAGAUUAUGACCUCAUAGUCAUACAAGUUAUGCUCAUCUUGGAGGAGCACAGAUUGUACUGUGAUGAUAUGGAGUUUCAAAACUAUAUACCUGUGUGGAUGCAGAUGAUGCCUCUUUUCUCUGAUCUACCUUAAUGUGGUCUGCCUUCACUCACCUCCAACAUGCAGUAACCUUAGAUUUGUGGUAGUGGAGGGGUCUGACAAGACUUUAUUGUUUUGUCAUCUAUAACAGGCUUUGUUCACUGAGAAACAGCUAUGCUGUUUUCUGCAGAGCAGCCCUUGCCCCAGGCUGUAUGACAGGUUUCUCUGGGCAGCAUCAUGGGGGGCUUUCAAGGAGGUAGAAGGGCCAUUUCCAGUGGGACUGGUGCUAGUCUCUGCUACUGCUGUCUACAUUUGUCAGGGUGGCCUUAACUGGAGUCUUCCCUGAGGUCUGCAAAAUGUGUGAAUAUGUUCCUUCUUUGAAAAGAAAAAUACACCUUUGGUGAGGGCUCAUCAUUUCUGACGAUGAGUUUGACAGAAGCUGUCUGCUCUCUUCCUUGCUUUGGAGGGAUCCUUCCUCAGGAUUAUUGCUGUUACCUGAAUCUGUCCUCAGUGGACUGCUCACUUCAAUAACAAAAGAUUUAGUGGCAGGACCUGAGUUAAGGUCUCAAAGAGAGAAACAGAGAUGGGAGAAUUAGACAGACUAGUGACUGAAGUAACUUACUAAUAUAACACUAAUGUACAGCAAUUAUACAUUUGAAUACCGUGUGUCCUUCGUUGUUCUGUUGCGAAAUCCAUUAGAUGGCAAAAGAACACAGAUUUGCACUGAUAUUUUUGAGGAAAAAUGCAAACAAGAUAUCAGUUGUAUUUCCUAUGAAAAGCAGAUUUGCAUUCUUUGGACAAGCAUUUAGGGAUGUGUAAUAUUAUUUGUAUAUCAGUCCUUAUCUGUAUAGCAUUAAUUAGAUAUGCAAAAAUUAUUAGUAUGCAAAAUAUUAGGUAUGGAACCCAUGUUUUUAUUGUGGUAAGAACCCAUAAGGAGAUACCGGUGAGCAAUGAGCUAUAAAAAUGUAAAAUAAAGUACUAGUAAUGUGUGAUUUCUAAUACUGAGCCAGUGAGUUAUAUUUCUAAACCAGAAAUACAGCCUUUCUGUUCUUCUCCCCUCCCCUGGGUUUCAUCUAAUAUUGGGCCAUAAAUCGUGAGAUCUGUAAGUAAAACAAAAUCCAUGGAAAAUAAAGAGACAGUAAAAUAAAUCAUAACAUGUAAGAUUCGUGAGUUAUCAAAAAACAUGUUUUUUCAGGGCUUUUUUUUU
Pezoporus occidentalis (night parrot) is the source of this 2785-nucleotide long non-coding RNA. RefSeq lists it as uncharacterized. Lineage: Eukaryota; Metazoa; Chordata; Aves; Psittaciformes; Psittacidae. The transcript is spliced from 3 exons. The record is from RefSeq and is a predicted model, not a curated record.